RNAcentral lists this ribosomal RNA (454 nucleotides) under uncultured cyanobacterium. Its description in RNAcentral is "partial 16S ribosomal RNA". It matches the Rfam family "Bacterial small subunit ribosomal RNA", at positions 1 to 509 of the family's 1533-position model. The record is from RNAcentral. Lineage: Bacteria; Bacillati; Cyanobacteriota.
UGAGUUUGAUCAUGGCUCAGGAUGAACGCUGGCGGCGUGCUUAACACAUGCAAGUCGAACGAACCUUCGGGUUAGUGGCGGACGGGUGAGUAACGCGUGAGAAUCUGCCCUCAGGAGGGGGAUAACGGUUGGAAACGACCGCUAAUACCCCAUAUGCCUACUGGUGAAAUGAAUUUNNCCUGAGGAUGAGCUCGCGUCUGAUUAGCUUGUUGGUGAGGUAAUGGCUCACCAAGGCUUCGAUCAGUNNNUGGUCUGAGAGGAUGAUCAGCCACACUGGGACUGAGACACGGCCCNNNCUCCUACGGGAGGCAGCAGUGGGGAAUUUUCCGCAAUGGGCGAAAGCCUGACGGAGCAACGCCGCGUGAGGGANNAAGGCCUCUGGGCUGUAAACCUCUUUUCUCAAGGAAGAAGAUAUGACGGUACUUGAGGAAUAAGCCACGGCUAAUUCCGUGCC